ACGAGAACCUCUUGUACAGUAGGAACUAGGAACUGAAUUGGACCGUUAGAUUAAAAGGUAAUGGACGGAUCAGAUCAUUUAAUAUCUAGAAUUCAGGAUCAUGCGAUUAGCUCUUCACACAAUUCUCUAUCCUCCAACCAAUCUCUCUCCUCCAUUGAUGCUAGUGCUUUGAGUUCUCCAUUAAACUAGUUAUCGAGCUUUUUUUUCUCCAUUAAAGCGGUAUUCGUGCUCUCUGUACUCCAUUGAAGUAGCUUGUGAGAUAAGAGGUUUUUUAUUUCUCUAUUUUCGUGCUCGUCCAUGGUGUUGUAUAAUUUGGUGAUUUCACUUCGAAUUGUCUGAAAUUUACAGGUAAACAUUGUGAUUUUUGUUCUAUCAAAUUUCUAGGUUUUAUUUAUUUAUUUUUAUUUCUUACUCAUGUAUUACUCACAAUUUGUGUUUGAAUUUUGGAGAAUUAGAUUUCUAGGUUUUUAUUAGAGAAUUUUGGUGCUCGAAUUUGUGCUAUAUUUUCCAGAUGUAGCGUAUGAAUUUGAUCAAAGUAGACUAUUGAUUUGUUCGAUAUCGAUUAUUGAGAUUCGUUUUAGUGUUUCGGUUGGAGUAUUGUUUUAAUUUAAUCAAAUUAGACUAUUUAACGAGCAUAUAUUGAGUUUCUAAAAUCCGCAAAUUGAUUAAUUUCAAGAUCAUACAUUAUUUAGUGAAUAGUGAUAUUUCAAAGCUAUUCAAUUUUUCACUACGAACGAUUUUUUCCGGCUUUUGAGUUAUUAUAGCUAAUUUUGACUACUUUUGGAUGGAGCUUGAGUUUAUGCUAAUUGAUCCUAUGGAUGAUUCUUGUGAGAUUUACAGGUUGAAUUUGUUUAAAGUAAAUAGAAACCAAGUAAAAGUGAACAAAUUAUAGUGUAAAGUAUAUAGAAAAACUAAAACCAUUAUUUACAUUAUAUGAGCAAUCAAAAUCAGAGGGAGAACAUAAUUAGCUGUGUGGAAGCUGGUUGAGUUGAAGUGAUUGUCAAUGUUGUUAUGGUAGAUCUCAUACCUAUGUCCAUGAAAGAAUUUAUCUCAUUUAAGUAAAUCAACUCUCCUUAAAAGUAAACUAAAUCUCUCUAAAAGUAAAUUAAUCCUCUCUUAAAGUAACUAAUGCCAACAAUGAGGACUUUUUGAUGUUUGUAUCUUUGGUGUGGGGUGCGUGGUCUUAUAGGUUCUCUAUUGUGUUUAAUGAGCCAUGGAAAAACCGGGUUAUUGGAGUCAUGGGUUUUGUUCGAUUGGUUAGGAAUUAUAAAAACUAUACUGAUAGGAUUUAUAGGACAUCUAGGGAGGAGUAUGAAUAGGGCAGUUGUUAGGAGAUCUUAGGUGCCGCCUGUUGCUUGUAGAGUUUGUGUAUUCUGAUGCAGCGCAUUUUCAAAGGUACAGGGGUUGGCUUGGGUAUUACAAUUAAGGAUUAGUAAGGGAAGAUUAUGGCUGUUAUGUUGCAAAGAUUGCAUGCAUAGGUGGCUGUUGUCUGUUGUCAUGGCAGAAUCCUUGCUGUUAUGGUGCAAAAAUAAGCAUGAAGAAUUUGGCAUUAAACAUCAUAAACUACUAGUGCAAUUUUCCUCUGAAAGCUCACAAAGGCAAGCCUUAUCUACCUUGCUAACAUUUGAGCAGCAAUUGAAAGAGCGUGAAAAUCAGGUUGUAUAACUGAAACUUGAUCAAGAGUAGACUGGUAAACAUUCACCUCAAAACCGUCAAGAUCUGCCUCAUUAGAUUGACUUGUACGUGAACCUCAUUAGAUUGGCACAAAAAUUGAUGCAAAAUCAACAAUAUGCAUGGUCUGCAAUCUAUAUUGCAUGUUUAUUCUUUAAUGUAAAUACCUUUGGAUUGUCUUCUAGUGUUAAAUGUUAUUACCUUUGGGCUUUGGACUGUAUUCUAGUGUGUGAGCAAGCAUUUUCUAUGGCACAGAAUUUGGAUCAGAUGGCAGAGGUGUCCUGCAAGUUGAUAUUGUUGUCAUACAAAUUUGUGAUUGUGUUGGGAAUAUCUUAAAUAAGGGAGUGCUUAGAUA
Chenopodium quinoa (quinoa) is the source of this 2026-nucleotide long non-coding RNA. RefSeq lists it as uncharacterized. The record is from RefSeq and is a predicted model, not a curated record. NCBI's taxonomy places the organism in Eukaryota, Viridiplantae, Streptophyta, Magnoliopsida, Caryophyllales, Amaranthaceae. The transcript has 2 exons.